Molecule: ribosomal RNA, 253 nt
Filed under: uncultured bacterium
Lineage: Bacteria
Description: partial 16S ribosomal RNA
Rfam family: Bacterial small subunit ribosomal RNA
Source: RNAcentral
UACGUAGGUGGCAAGCGUUGUCCGGAAUUAUUGGGCGUAAAGCGCGCGCAGGCGGUCCUUUAAGUCUGAUGUGAAAGCCCACGGCUCAACCGUGGAGGGUCAUUGGAAACUGGGGGACUUGAGUGCAGGAGAGAAGAGUGGAAUUCCACGUGUAGCGGUGAAAUGCGUAGAUAUCUGGAGGAACACCGGUGGCGAAGGCGGCAUCCUGGACCAAUACUGACGCUGAGGAGCGAAAGCCAGGGGAGCAAACGGG